This 90-nucleotide transfer RNA is filed under the name Candidatus Margulisiibacteriota bacterium. RNAcentral describes it as "tRNA-Ser". It matches the Rfam family "tRNA". Rfam says of the family: Transfer RNA (tRNA) molecules are approximately 80 nucleotides in length. Their secondary structure includes four short double-helical elements and three loops (D, anti-codon, and T loops). Lineage: Bacteria; Bacillati; Candidatus Margulisiibacteriota. The record is from RNAcentral.
GGAAAGAUGUCCGAGUGGCUUAAGGAGCACGCUUGGAAAGCGUGUGUGGGUGAAAGCUCACCGUGGGUUCGAAUCCCACUCUUUCCGCCA